GGCCUACCAUGGUGGUAACGGGUAACGGGGUGUUAGGGCACGACACCGGAGAGGGAGCCUGAGAAACGGCUACCACAUCCAAGGAAGGCAGCAGGCGCGCAAAUUACCCAAUCCCGACACGGGGAGGUAGUGACAAUAAAUAACAAUACAGGGUUCUUUUGGAUCUUGUAAUUGGAAUGAGUACAAUUUAAAUCUCUUAACGAGGAACAAUUGGAGGGCAAGUCUGGUGCCAGCAGCCGCGGUAAUUCCAGCUCCAAUAGCGUAUAUUAAAGUUGUUGCAGUUAAAAAGCUCGUAGUUGAAUUUCGGGAUCAAUAUUUCGGUCAUGCCGUUGGUAUGCACUGUUAUCAUUGAUUUCUCACCUUCUAAAGAACCGUAAUGCCAUUAAUUUGGUGUUACGGGGAAUUAGGACUGUUACCUUGAAAAAAUUAGAGUGUUUAAAGCAGGCUCACGCUUGAAUACAUUAGCAUGGAAUAAUGAAAUAGGGCAUCCGAUUCUAUUUUGUUGGUUUCUAGGAUCGAUGUAAUGAUUAAUAGGGAUAGUUGGGGGCAUUAGUAUUCAAUUGUCAGAGGUGAAAUUCUUGGAUUUAUUGAAGACUAACUACUGCGAAAGCAUUUGCCAAGGAUGUUUUCAUUAAUCAAGAACGAAAGUUAGGGGAUCGAAGACGAUCAGAUACCGUCGUAGUCUUAACCAUAAACUAUGCCGACUAGGGAUCGGAUGAUGUUAAUUUUUUAAUGACUCAUUCGGCGCCUUACG
RNAcentral lists this ribosomal RNA (754 nucleotides) under uncultured Glomus. RNAcentral describes it as "SSU rRNA". It matches the Rfam family "Eukaryotic small subunit ribosomal RNA", at positions 338 to 1092 of the family's 1831-position model. Lineage: Eukaryota; Fungi; Glomeromycota; Glomeromycetes; Glomerales; Glomeraceae. The record is from RNAcentral.